This 432-nucleotide ribosomal RNA is filed under the name uncultured bacterium. RNAcentral's name for it is "partial 16S ribosomal RNA". It matches the Rfam family "Bacterial small subunit ribosomal RNA", at positions 29 to 507 of the family's 1533-position model. The record is from RNAcentral.
ACGCACGCUGGCGGCAUGCCUCACACCUGCCAGUCGAACGAGACCUUCGGGUCUAGUGGCGCACGGGUGCGUAACGCGUGGGAACCUGCCCUUAGGUUCGGAAUAACUCCCCGAAAGGGGUGCUAAUACCGGAUAAUGUCUUCGGACCAAAGAUUUAUCGCCUUUGGAUGGGCCCGCGUUGGAUUAGCUAGUUGGUAGGGUAAAAGCCUACCAAGGCGACGAUCCAUAGCUGGUCUGAGAGGAUGAUCAGCCACACUGGGACUGAGACACGGCCCAGACUCCUACGGGAGGCAGCAGUGGGGAAUAUUGGACAAUGGGCGAAAGCCUGAUCCAGCAAUGCCGCGUGAGUGAUGAAGGCCUUAGGGUUGUAAAGCUCUUUUACCCGGGAUGAUAAUGACAGUACCGGGAGAAUAAGCGCCGGCUAACUCCGUG